This 396-nucleotide unclassified non-coding RNA is filed under the name Hevea brasiliensis (rubber tree). Lineage: Eukaryota; Viridiplantae; Streptophyta; Magnoliopsida; Malpighiales; Euphorbiaceae. The record is from RNAcentral.
CGAAGUCUGUGGCAACCGCAUACUGUGGAGUUAGAAGUGGCAUACAGAUCUCUGACUCCAAAAUCACAAGCAAUUUUCUAUUCCAAGAUUAGCUUCUCGUGUUUUCUCCUCCCAUUUCUUCGCAAUCCCAUUUUAAGCUACUCAUACAUUUCCUGUAUUCAAAUCUCUCCCCUGUUUGCUCCUCCCUUUCUUACCUCGCCAGCCUUCGGUUUUCUUCACUUCCCAUUUUGUUUUCUUCUUCCUUGCAUAUUGGGACUGGUACGAAGUCUUGAAUCUUGUUCGUUUUGACAUCUAGGUACCUUUGGUUCUUCUUUUUUGGCUACCUCUCUGCCUCUGGGAAAGUAGUUUUGCCUUUUCACAAUGCCAUAAAUCUUUUUUAAAGAUUCCAAACACCCA